Molecule: ribosomal RNA, 467 nt
Filed under: uncultured bacterium
Lineage: Bacteria
Description: partial 16S ribosomal RNA
Rfam family: Bacterial small subunit ribosomal RNA
Source: RNAcentral
GACGAACGCUGGCGGCGUGCUUAACACAUGCAAGUCGAACGAUGAAGCCCAGCUUGCUGGGUGGAAGAGUGGCGAACGGGUGAGUAACACGUGAGUAACCUGCCCUGAACUCUGGGAUAAGCACUGGAAACGGUGUCUAAUACUGGAUACGACCUAUCACCGCAUGGUGUGUGGGUGGAAAGAUUUAUCGGUUCUGGAUGGACUCGCGGCCUAUCAGCUAGAUGGUGAGGUAAUGGCUCACCAUGGCGACGACGGGUAGCCGGCCUGAGAGGGUGACCGGCCACCCUGGGCCUGAGACACGGCCCAGACUCCUACGGGAGGCAGCAGUGGGGAAUAUUGCACAAUGGGCGCAAGCCUGAUGCAGCAGCGCCGCGUGAGGGAUGACGGCCUUCGGGUUGUAAACCUCUUUUAGUAGGGAAGAAGCGAAAGUGACGGUACCUGCAGAAAAAGCACCGGCUAACUACGUG